Molecule: long non-coding RNA, 683 nt
Organism: Danio aesculapii
Lineage: Eukaryota; Metazoa; Chordata; Actinopteri; Cypriniformes; Danionidae
Exons: 4
Source: RefSeq, a predicted model, not a curated record
AUUAAGCUUAAUUUGAGAAACCAGUUAAGCUAAUAAAAUUGAGGAAAGAUGGCUUCACGUUUAUUUUAAGAAAAUUCACUCAAUUAUGUGGAUUUGAUUGAGAUGUUUGCAUUUGAAUCUCAACAACGGCAGUGAUCAGACGACAUUUUGAAGGAGCAGAUCAACAGCGAGCAUGUUAAGAGUUUAAUGAAGAAAACUUUCGCAGUGUUUUCCCACUAAAGAGGAGCAGUUUAUUGAGGCAGAUUUUGAUAAAGAGAAUGGGUGCCAUACAUCAGACCUCACAUUAAAUCAGGGAUGAAACGAGAGAUGUCGUCCUCUGUUGCUGGUCUAUCUGUAUGAAUAAGAGGAAGAGCUCAUCCAGGAGUGCAAUUGUGGGAAUGCACAGAGAAUUGCUGUCUGUCAGAGGGAUGACCAACCAUGAGGACUUCUGCAUUGUCUUGGAGGAUAAGUGAGUCAUGGCUAGCCUGGAAAAUCUAGAAUCGCUGAACUGGAUUUAUACAAAUAUUCCACAAAUUAAAAUCACUUACAAAGAAAUGAAUAUUAAGUUUGCAAUACACAAAUUCUGUCAAAUAUUGUCUAAAAUGUGACUAUUCCUACAAAGGAAAGUUGACAGGUCAGUUUUUUCCAUGACAUGGAUAAAGGAAUUUUUAUCAGAGAUUAGCAUUGCUGUAAAUUUUAUAUAG